RNAcentral lists this ribosomal RNA (530 nucleotides) under uncultured bacterium. RNAcentral's name for it is "bacterial SSU rRNA". It matches the Rfam family "Bacterial small subunit ribosomal RNA", at positions 777 to 1304 of the family's 1533-position model. The record is from RNAcentral.
AAUAGAUACCCUGGUAGUCCACGCCGUAAACGAUGAGUGCUAAGUGUUGGGGGGUUUCCGCCCCCUCAGUGCUGCAGCUAACGCAUUAAGCACUCCGCCUGGGGAGUACGGCCGCAAGGCUGAAACUCAAAGGAAUUGACGGGGGCCCGCACAAGCGGUGGAGCAUGUGGUUUAAUUCGAAGCAACGCGAAGAACCUUACCAGGUCUUGACAUCCCGCUGCCCGGUAUAGAGAUAUAUCUUUCCCUUCGGGGACAGCGGUGACAGGUGGUGCAUGGUUGUCGUCAGCUCGUGUCGUGAGAUGUUGGGUUAAGUCCCGCAACGAGCGCAACCCUUGAUCUUAGUUGCCAGCAUUUAGUUGGGCACUCUAAGGUGACUGCCGGUGACAAACCGGAGGAAGGUGGGGAUGACGUCAAAUCAUCAUGCCCCUUAUGACCUGGGCUACACACGUGCUACAAUGGAUGGUACAAAGGGCUGCAAGACCGCGAGGUUUAGCCAAUCCCAUAAAACCAUUCUCAGUUCGGAUUGCAGG